Molecule: ribosomal RNA, 484 nt
Filed under: uncultured bacterium
Lineage: Bacteria
Description: partial 16S ribosomal RNA
Rfam family: Bacterial small subunit ribosomal RNA
Source: RNAcentral
AUUGAACGCUGGCGGCAGGCCUAACACAUGCAAGUCGAGCGGAAGCAGGGCGCUUGCUCCUGGAUUCAGCGGCGGAGGGGUGUGUAAUGCCUAGGAAUAUGCCUGGGAGUGGGGUAAAACGUCGGAAACUGGGCGCAAAUCCCGCAUACGCCGUGGGGGAGAACGGGGGGGAGAUCCGGACUGUUUGCUCUCGGGUGUGCCGAGGUCGGAUUAGCUAGUUGGUGGGGUAAAGGCCUACCAAGGCGACGAUCCGUAGCUGGUCUGAGAGGAUGAGCAGUCACACUGGAACUGAGACACGGUCCAGACUCCUACGGGAGGCAGCAGUGGGGAAUAUUGGACAAUGGGCGAAAGCCUGAUCCAGCCAUGCCGCGUGUGUGAAGAAGGUCUUCGGAUUGUAAAGCACUUUUAGUUGGGAGGAAGCGCAGUAAGUUAAUACCUUGCUGUUUUGACGGUACCAGCAGAAUAAGCACCGGCUAACUUCGUG